CCUACGGGAGGCAGCAGUGGGGAAUAUUGGACAAUGGGCGAAAGCCUGAUCCAGCAAUGCCGCGUGAGUGAUGAAGGCCUUAGGGUUGUAAAGCUCUUUUACCAGGGAUGAUAAUGACAGUACCUGGAGAAUAAGCUCUGGCUAACUCCGUGUCAGCAGCCGCGGUAAUACGGAGGGAGCUAGCGUUGUUCGGAAUUACUGGGCGUAAAGCGUACGUAGGCGGUUAUUCAAGUCAGAGGUGAAAGCCUGGAGCUCAACUCCAGAACUGCCUUUGAAACUAGAUAGCUAGAAUCUUGGAGAGGUGAGUGGAAUUCCGAGUGUAGAGGUGAAAUUCGUAGAUAUUCGGAAGAACACCAGUGGCGAAGGCGACUCACUGGACAAGUAUUGACGCUGAGGUACGAAAGCGUGGGGAGCAAACAGGAUUAGAUACCCUGGUAGUCCACGCCGUAAACGAUGAUAACUAGCUGUUCGGGCUCUACGAGCUUGAGUGGCGCAGCUACGACAUUAAGUUAGUCCGUCCGUCGGGAGGUACGGUCGGCGAAGUAAGUUAAACUUAACGUUAAAGAAAGUUAGUUAGGACGUGAGACGUUGCCGACGGACGACGACGAGGGAGGAGG
RNAcentral lists this ribosomal RNA (617 nucleotides) under uncultured bacterium. RNAcentral's name for it is "bacterial SSU rRNA". The stretch from base 1 to 519 matches the Rfam family "Bacterial small subunit ribosomal RNA", at positions 338 to 873 of the family's 1533-position model. The record is from RNAcentral.